ACUACGGGUGGCUGCAGUGAGGAAUAUUGGUCAAUGGGCGCGAGCCUGAACCAGCCAAGUAGCGUGAAGGAUGACUGCCCUACGGGUUGUAAACUUCUUUUAUAAAGGAAUAAAGUGAGGCACGUGUGCCUUUUUGUAUGUACUUUAUGAAUAAGGAUCGGCUAACUCCGUGCAAGAAGCCGCGGUAAUACGGAGGAUCCGAGCGUUAUCCGGAUUUAUUGGGUUUAAAGGGAGCGUAGAUGGGUUGUUAAGUCAGUUGUGAAAGUUUGCGGCUCAACCGUAAAAUUGCAAUUGAUACUGGCAGUCUUGAGUACAGGUGAGGUAGGCGGAAUUCGUGGUGUAGCGGUGAAAUGCUUAGA
This 359-nucleotide ribosomal RNA is filed under the name uncultured bacterium. RNAcentral describes it as "partial 16S ribosomal RNA". It matches the Rfam family "Bacterial small subunit ribosomal RNA", at positions 338 to 694 of the family's 1533-position model. The record is from RNAcentral.